This 436-nucleotide ribosomal RNA is filed under the name uncultured bacterium. RNAcentral's name for it is "bacterial SSU rRNA". It matches the Rfam family "Bacterial small subunit ribosomal RNA", at positions 355 to 786 of the family's 1533-position model. The record is from RNAcentral.
UGAGGAAUAUUGGUCAAUGGGCGGAAGCCUGAACCAGCCAAGUCGCGUGAGGGAAGACGGUCCUAUGGAUUGUAAACCUCUUUUGUCGGGGAGCAAGGCCACUCACGAGUGAGUGGAAGGAGAGUACCCGAAGAAAAAGCAUCGGCUAACUCCGUGCCAGCAGCCGCGGUAAUACGGAGGAUGCGAGCGUUAUCCGGAUUUAUUGGGUUUAAAGGGUGCGUAGGCGGACUGUUAAGUCAGCGGUCAAAUGUCGGUGCUCAACGCCGGCCUGCCGUUGAAACUGGCGGUCUUGAGUGAGCGAGAAGUAUGCGGAAUGCGUGGUGUAGCGGUGAAAUGCAUAGAUAUCAACGCAGAACUCCGAUUGCGAAGGCAGCAUACCGGCGCUCAACUGACGCUGAGGCACGAAAGGCGUGGGGAUCGAACAGGAUUAGAUACC